UUACCGGCUUGAAAGGACUGAAACUCUUCGGACCUAGGUGCUGCAUGGCUGUCGUCAGCUCGUGCCGUGAGGUGUUGGGUUAAGUCCCGCAACGAGCGCAACCCUUUCUUAGUUGCCAUCAGUUGGGACUCUAAGAUACUGCCUACGUAAUAGGAGGAAGGUGGGGACGACGUCAAGUCAUCAUGGCCCUUACGCCGGGCUACACACGUGCUACAAUGGGACACAAUGGGCAUAGUAAUAGAUGCAAUCCCAAAAUCAUCUCAGUUCGGAUUGAGGUCUGCAACUCGACCUCAUGAAGCUGGAUUCGCUAGUAAUCGCAAUCAGCAUGUGCGGUGAAUACGUUCCCGGGCCUUGUACACACCGCCCGUCAAGCCAUGGAAGAUGGAGACCGAA
This 393-nucleotide ribosomal RNA is filed under the name uncultured bacterium. Its description in RNAcentral is "bacterial SSU rRNA". It matches the Rfam family "Bacterial small subunit ribosomal RNA", at positions 971 to 1425 of the family's 1533-position model. The record is from RNAcentral.